Molecule: ribosomal RNA, 253 nt
Filed under: uncultured bacterium
Lineage: Bacteria
Description: partial 16S ribosomal RNA
Rfam family: Bacterial small subunit ribosomal RNA
Source: RNAcentral
UACGUAGGUGGCAAGCGUUAUCCGGAAUUAUUGGGCGUAAAGCGCGCGCAGGCGGUUUUUUAAGUCUGAUGUGAAAGCCCACGGCUCAACCGUGGAGGGUCAUUGGAAACUGGGGAACUUGAGUGCAGAAGAGAAAAGCGGAAUUCCACGUGUAGCGGUGAAAUGCGUAGAGAUGUGGAGGAACACCAGUGGCGAAGGCGGCUUUUUGGUCUGUAACUGACGCUGAGGCGCGAGAGCGUGGGGAGCAAACAGG